UGAAGUAUAGCCAAGUGGUAAGGCCUCCGUUUUUGAUACGGAAAAUCAAAGGU
This 53-nucleotide transfer RNA is filed under the name Phytophthora pseudotsugae. Its description in RNAcentral is "partial tRNA-Gln". It matches the Rfam family "tRNA", at positions 1 to 52 of the family's 71-position model. Rfam says of the family: Transfer RNA (tRNA) molecules are approximately 80 nucleotides in length. Their secondary structure includes four short double-helical elements and three loops (D, anti-codon, and T loops). Lineage: Eukaryota; Oomycota; Peronosporomycetes; Peronosporales; Peronosporaceae. The record is from RNAcentral.